UUUGAAGGCAAAGCCACCAGCUUUCCUCUUGGCCUUUUCAUGAAUUCAGUCACGCCGGGCCGUCAAAACGUGUUAAGCGCCGACUGUAUGCAAGGUAGAAAGAGACAAGUGGGGUGUGCGGAAACAGAACCGCCCGGGGAACGGGGAGUCUGGUGCUGAGAAGACCGGUGUCCCCCAGGUCGUGGGGCAAACAGCCAGCGAGAGACGCGAGAACCCACCCGACGCACCACGGAGGGGACGUGAUUCUAGCUGCUUCCUCACGGGGCUGCUGUCCAACAGAGGUGAGAUGAGCCUCGGGAAGGCCUCAGCCAGGGCCCUGCACCCCGAGCGCCCCGCAGCGGUUCUCGAGGACGAAACCUCCAAUCUGCAGCCCCGGAGCUUCAGGGUGAAGAUGCUACUGUUUUUAAUUUGGCCACAGACGAAGCCUGUUCCUUCUCGUCAUCUUCCCCUGAAGGAGUUGGUGGCGACAGAUCAGCCUGAAAAUCUGCCAGGCAACAGGUUUUUUCCUCUCUGGAAGUACAGGAGGCAGGGGAUGGGAAGUCACGGCGCCUGUGUACGAAGGUGACCAACGGCCCCUGCUUGCCUGGAGCCGUCCAGUUGAGCAUCGGAAGUCCCACAGCCUGGAAAACCUGGCCAGGCGGGCAGUGGGUCCCUGCACCUUGUAUCGCACUAGGUGCCGUCUGCCCCGGAUAUGGGAGCACCACUCGCCGUCCUGAGUCUCGCCGAAGGAGGAGGGGUUGGAGGAGUCUGACUCAGAGAAGCAGACAAAGUGCGGAGUCCGUGCGAUUGGCGAGCCCGGGGGCCUGACGCCUUCAGAGGGGGCAGCCCUUGCUGGGGGCUUUCAGGGCCACGGCUAGAUUCCUUCCAACGCGCUGCCCUCCUUCCUUCCCAUAAACUUCAGCCAUCUCCUAAAACAGGGUGGGGGACGGUCAUGAAGAGACAGACCCAAGAACUGAGCAUCCUUAGGGUAGAAAUAAAGCUGGUGAUGAUAUGAACGAAGGGUCUAGG
Molecule: long non-coding RNA, 1008 nt
Filed under: Felis catus (domestic cat)
Lineage: Eukaryota; Metazoa; Chordata; Mammalia; Carnivora; Felidae
Description: lncRNA (ENSFCAG00000047256.1)
Source: RNAcentral